This 497-nucleotide ribosomal RNA is filed under the name uncultured bacterium. RNAcentral describes it as "partial 16S ribosomal RNA". It matches the Rfam family "Bacterial small subunit ribosomal RNA", at positions 28 to 507 of the family's 1533-position model. The record is from RNAcentral.
GAUGAACGCUGGCGGCGUGCCUAAUACAUGCAAGUCGAGCGAACAGACGAGGAGCUUGCUCCUCUGACGUUAGCGGCGGACGGGUGAGUAACACGUGGAUAACCUACCUAUAAGACUGGGAUAACUUCGGGAAACCGGAGCUAAUACCGGAUAAUAUAUUGAACCGCAUGGUUCAAUAGUGAAAGACGGUUUUGCUGUCACUUAUAGAUGGAUCCGCGCCGCAUUAGCUAGUUGGUAAGGUAACGGCUUACCAAGGCAACGAUGCGUAGCCGACCUGAGAGGGGGAUCCGGCAAAAUUGAACUGAGACACGGUCCAGACUCCUACGGGAGGCAGCAGUAGGGAAUCUUCCGCAAUGGGCGAAAGCCUGACGGAGCAACGCCGCGUGAGUGAUGAAGGUCUUCGGAUCGUAAAACUCUGUUAUUAGGGAAGAACAAAUGUGUAAGUAACUAUGCACGUCUUGACGGUACCUAAUCAGAAAGCCACGGCUAACUACGUG